RNAcentral lists this ribosomal RNA (253 nucleotides) under uncultured bacterium. Its description in RNAcentral is "partial 16S ribosomal RNA". It matches the Rfam family "Bacterial small subunit ribosomal RNA", at positions 524 to 776 of the family's 1533-position model. The record is from RNAcentral.
UACAGAGGGGGCAAGCGUUGUUCGGAAUUACUGGGCGUAAAGGGCGCGUAGGCGGCCUGUUAAGUCGAACGUGAAAUCCCCGGGCUCAACCCGGGAACUGCGUCCGAUACUGGCAGGCUUGAAUUCGGGAGAGGGAUGUGGAAUUCCAGGUGUAGCGGUGAAAUGCGUAGAUAUCUGGAGGAACACCGGUGGCGAAGGCGGCAUCCUGGACCGGCAUUGACGCUGAGGAGCGAAAGCUAGGGGAGCAAACGGG